RNAcentral lists this ribosomal RNA (226 nucleotides) under uncultured bacterium. RNAcentral's name for it is "partial 16S ribosomal RNA". It matches the Rfam family "Bacterial small subunit ribosomal RNA", at positions 538 to 763 of the family's 1533-position model. The record is from RNAcentral.
GCGUUGUUCGGAUUCAUUGGUCGUAAAGGGUGCGUAGGAGUCGUGGUAAGUCGGGUGUGAAAUUUCGGAGCUUAACUCGGAAACUGCAUUUGAUACUGCCGUGCUCGAGGACUGGAGAGGUGACUGGAAUUUACGGUGUAGCAGUGAAAUGCGUAGAGAUCGUAAGGAAGACCAGUGGCGAAGGCGGGUCUCUGGACAGUUCCUGACACUGAGGCACGAAGGCCAG